UGGCUGUGAUGACACCGAUUGGUUUCGCUCACUACUGAUGUGCAGUGGGGACAGUUCCACUUGGCUGCCUGAGCAG
This is a small nucleolar RNA of Callipepla squamata (scaled quail), 76 nucleotides long. It matches the Rfam family "Small nucleolar RNA SNORD53/SNORD92". Rfam says of the family: U53 is a member of the C/D class of snoRNA which contain the C (UGAUGA) and D (CUGA) box motifs. The record is from Rfam. NCBI's taxonomy places the organism in Eukaryota, Metazoa, Chordata, Aves, Galliformes, Odontophoridae.